RNAcentral lists this ribosomal RNA (445 nucleotides) under uncultured bacterium. Its description in RNAcentral is "partial 16S ribosomal RNA". It matches the Rfam family "Bacterial small subunit ribosomal RNA", at positions 354 to 796 of the family's 1533-position model. The record is from RNAcentral.
GUAGGGAAUAUUGGGCAAUGGAUGCAAGUCUGACCCAGCCAUGCCGCGUGGAGGAAGAAGGUCCUCUGGAUUGUAAACUCCUUUUUUGGGGGAAGAAUAGUUCUCUUGCGAGGGAAUGUGACGGUACCCUAAGAAUAAGCCACGGCUAACUACGUGCCAGCAGCCGCGGUAAUACGUAGGUGGCAAGCGUUGUCCGGUUUUAUUGGUUUUAAAGGGUGCGUAGGUGGUUUGAUAAGUCAGUGGUGAAAGCUGGUUGCUCAACAAUCAAGUUGCCAUUGAUACUGUCGGACUUGAGAGAAGUGGAAGUUCAUGGAAUGGAUGGUGUAGCGGUGAAAUGCGUAGAUAUCAUCCAGAACGUCGAUUGCGAAGGCAGUGGGCUGUACUUUAUCUGACACUGAGGCACGAAAGUGUGGGGAUCAAACAGGAUUAGAUACCCUAGUAGUCC